RNAcentral lists this ribosomal RNA (353 nucleotides) under Veillonella parvula. RNAcentral describes it as "bacterial SSU rRNA". It matches the Rfam family "Bacterial small subunit ribosomal RNA", at positions 169 to 500 of the family's 1533-position model. The record is from RNAcentral. Lineage: Bacteria; Bacillati; Bacillota; Negativicutes; Veillonellales; Veillonellaceae.
CCGCAUACGAUCUAAUCUCGGCAUGAGGAUGGAUGAAAGGUGGCCUUACAUGUAAGCUAUCACUGAAGGAGGGGAUUGCGUCUGAUUAGCUAGUUGGAGGGGUAACGGCCCACCAAGGCGAUGAUCAGUAGCCGGUCUGAGAGGAUGAACGGCCACAUUGGGACUGAGACACGGCCCAGACUCCUACGGGAGGCAGCAGUGGGGAAUCUUCCGCAAUGGACGAAAGUCUGACGGAGCAACGCCGCGUGAGUGAUGACGGCCUUCGGGUUGUAAAGCUCUGUUAAUCGGGACGAAAGGCCUUCUUGCGAAUAGUGAGAAGGAUUGACGGUACCGGAAUAGAAAGCCACGGCUAA